RNAcentral lists this ribosomal RNA (490 nucleotides) under uncultured bacterium. Its description in RNAcentral is "partial 16S ribosomal RNA". It matches the Rfam family "Bacterial small subunit ribosomal RNA", at positions 30 to 507 of the family's 1533-position model. The record is from RNAcentral.
AUUGAACGCUGGCGGCAGGCCUAACACAUGCAAGUCGAACGGUAACAGGAAGAAGCUUGCUUCUUUGCUGACGAGUGGCGGACGGGUGAGUAAUGUCUGGGAAACUGCCUGAUGGAGGGGGAUAACUACUGGAAACGGUAGCUAAUACAGCAUAACGUCGCAAGACCAAAGAGGGGGACCUUCGGGCCUCUUGCCAGCGGAUGUGCCCAGAUGGGAUUAGCUAGUAGGUGGGGUAACGGCUCACCUAGGCGACGAUCCCUAGCUGGUCUGAGAGGAUGACCAGCCACACUGGAACUGAGACACGGUCCAGACUCCUACGGGAGGCAGCAGUGGGGAAUAUUGCACAAUGGGCGCAAGCCUGAUGCAGCCAUGCCGCGUGUAUGAAGAAGGCCUUCGGGUUGUAAAGUACUUUCAGCGGGGAGGAAGGGAGUAAAGUUAAUACCUUUGCUCAUUGACGUUACCCGCAGAAGAAGCACCGGCUAACUCCGUG